Molecule: ribosomal RNA, 512 nt
Filed under: uncultured bacterium
Lineage: Bacteria
Description: partial 16S ribosomal RNA
Rfam family: Bacterial small subunit ribosomal RNA
Source: RNAcentral
GAUGAACGCUGGCGGCAUGCCUAAUACAUGCAAGUCGAACGAGAGGAAGGAAAGCUUGCUUUUCUGAAUCUAGUGGCGAACGGGUGAGUAACACGUAGGUAACCUGCCCAUGUGCCCGGGAUAACUUCUGGAAACGGAUGCUAAAGCCGGAUAGGUAGCAGACAAGCAUUUGACUGCUAUUAAAGUGGCUAAGGCCAUGAACAUGGAUGGACCUGCGGUGCAUUAGCUAGUUGGUGAGGUAACGGCCCACCAAGGCGACGAUGCAUAGCCGGCCUGAGAGGGCGGACGGCCACAUUGGGAGUGAGACACGGCGCAAACUCCUACGGGAGGCAGGAGUAGGGAAUUUUCGUCAAGGGGGGGAGCCCGGAACGAGCAAUGCCGCGUGAGUGAGGAAGGUCUUCGGAUCGUAAAGCUCUGUUGUAAGAGAAAAACGACAUUCAUAGGGAAUGAUGAGUGAGUGAUGGUAUCUUACCAGAAAGUCACGGCUAACUACGUGCCAGCCGCCGCGGUAA